This 314-nucleotide ribosomal RNA is filed under the name uncultured bacterium. Its description in RNAcentral is "partial 16S ribosomal RNA". It matches the Rfam family "Bacterial small subunit ribosomal RNA", at positions 499 to 807 of the family's 1533-position model. The record is from RNAcentral.
UUGUAAGAGACAGCAGCAGCCGCGGUAAUACGCAGGGGGCUAGCGUUGCUCGGAAUUACUGGGCGUAAAGGGAGCGUAGGCGGGUCGUUUAGUCAGAGGUGAAAUCCCGGGGCUCAACCUCGGAGCUGCCUUUGAUACUGGCGACCUUGAGUAUGGGAGAGGUAAGCGGAACUCCGAGUGUAGAGGUGAAAUUCGUAGAUAUUCGCAAGAACACCAGUGGCGAAGGCGGCUCACUGGCCCGGAACUGACGCUGAGACGCGAAAGCGUGGGGAGCAAACAGGAUUAGAUACCCCCGUAGUCCCUGUCUCUUAUAC